Passer domesticus (house sparrow) is the source of this 384-nucleotide long non-coding RNA. RefSeq lists it as uncharacterized. The record is from RefSeq and is a predicted model, not a curated record. The transcript has 3 exons. Lineage: Eukaryota; Metazoa; Chordata; Aves; Passeriformes; Passeridae.
AUUUGGGAGGGCAUGGUAAUGACUGGUGGAGAAGGUGCUGUGUUUACAGAAUACAGCCAUCAAAACUGCUCUGGCUGUCCACGGACUUCAGGGACCACUCCCCUCCAGGGCAGGCCAGAGGGAUUUCCUGGCUAAUAUCAGGCAUUGCUUUACCCAAUGAAAUUCACCCCUGCAUUUUAAGCUGACACAGCAAAUGACAUUCAACAGUUUUGGUCAGGAAGGAAAGGAUCCUGAACCGUGCUGCAUGUGAAAGGCUGCCACUGAAUUCAGACAACCAAGUUGAAAGGUACUUCUUAGUGCAAGAGAGGUUCCAGACAGGACUGAUGCUUGGACAGCUGGGACUCUCCCCCACAGCCCAGAGCCAGUACAAAGCUAGUCUCCCAG